Molecule: unclassified non-coding RNA, 252 nt
Filed under: plant metagenome
Description: partial contains small subunit ribosomal RNA, internal transcribed spacer 1, and 5.8S ribosomal RNA
Rfam family: Eukaryotic small subunit ribosomal RNA (bases 1-54)
Source: RNAcentral
GGAAGUAAGAGUCGUAACAAGGUCUCCGUAGGUGAACCUGCGGAGGGAUCAUUACAGAGUUCAUGCCCUCCGGGUAGAUCUCCCACCCAUUGCUAUAACUACUCUCGUUGCUUUGGCGGGCCGCUGGGCCCUGCCCGGCCGCCGGCCCCGGCUGGCGCGUGCCCGCCAGAGACCUCACAAACUCUGAAUGUUAGUGUCGUCCGAGUAACUAUACAAUCGUUAAAACUUUCAACAACGGAUCUCUUGGUUCUG